UCCGGUUUAACACCGGCAGUCUCCCUAGAGUCCCCGGCAUGACCCGCUGGCAACUAGGGACGAGGGUUGCGCUCGUUGCGCCACUUAAGGCAACACCUCACGGCACGAGCUGACGACAGCCAUGCAGCACCUGUGCGGGCUCCCGAAGGAGGACCGGCUUUCACCGGCUUCACCCCGCAUGUCAAGCCCUGGUAAGGUUCUUCGCGUUGCGUCGAAUUGAGCCACAUGCUCCGCCGCUUGUGCGGGUCCCCGUCAAUUCCUUUGAGUUUUAGCCUUGCGGCCGUACUCCCCAGGCGGGGCGCUUAAUGCGUUAGCUUCGGCACAGAAGGGGUCGAUACCCCCCACACCUAGCGCCCAUCGUUUACGGCUGGGACUAC
RNAcentral lists this unclassified non-coding RNA (377 nucleotides) under uncultured Actinomycetes bacterium. RNAcentral's name for it is "uncultured actinobacterium contains 16S-23S intergenic spacer region". The record is from RNAcentral. Lineage: Bacteria; Bacillati; Actinomycetota; Actinomycetes.